This is a long non-coding RNA of Osmia lignaria (orchard mason bee), 1463 nucleotides long. RefSeq lists it as uncharacterized. The record is from RefSeq and is a predicted model, not a curated record. Lineage: Eukaryota; Metazoa; Arthropoda; Insecta; Hymenoptera; Megachilidae.
CACGUGCAUUUAAUUUUGGGUACGUGCAAUAGUUGAUGUUUAUUAAUGUUUGUAAGUUUGUGUUAUACAUUCGGGUGCAACAUGGAUCCCGAGGGAGAGACCGGGAGAAAUUGGGAGAGACAGGGAGAGCCAGAAAGAAUACCAGUUUUUAUCGAGUGCUAUGCCAGUAAGGUCGUUAACAGGAAGAAGACGUAUAUCGACAGCGAAGGACAUAUCCGAAGGGAUUUCCCCGAUGAUUAUCUACCUGCAUGUUUACUCCAUCCCAGACAUGGCCAUCAUGACAAUUUCCUCGAGUAAUACGCUGUGACUUAAACAUUCCAUGGAGGUGACAUGGCUGGUCGCUAUAAGGGGAUCAUCCCAUUUGGAAGCGUGGACGUACAAAGAACCCUUCACCCCUGACUUUCGUCGAUAUGCAAUUUCGUCGCCGAAGAGAAUGAGCCGCACUUGUUCGUAGUAUCGCCGAUGCACCUGUGGCUUGUGCGUCUCGCGCCGACGUUGGCCGAGCCCGAACGAAGGCCACCGAACGCGACGCCUAUAUAAAAGUGGACAGCGGCGCGUCGCAAUCAUUCGUAGUACGAACUACGUGCACGCUCGGAUAUCAGCGAACGAUACAACGAGUUCUCUAAGUGACCGUUACAAGAUAAUUCUCGUGCAAAAGUGUCAAUCACUGGAUUGUGUUCGAAAGUAUAGCAACCAUGUACACGAACCCGUUCAACCGCAAACACAGCACCAUCCGCCAGAUGCUGGACCGGCUUUUGGACCCGACCAAGAAGUCGAUUAGAAGAUCAGAAAGUGUGUCGAGCUCCGGCAGCGACAGUUCGAAGGGUAGCAACGGCUCUUUGAACAAAUACUCUCACAAUAACAAGAUGUUGCAAUGGGGCAGAAAGUGAAGAACGGAAGGAAAAGGCUGCAGCUUUAUUCUUUUCUUCCUGGGUUUCUUCACUUAAUCAUCCUUACCUGUUUAACAAUGGGAAGCGAACCGAUAAGGGAACAGAGCCUCGCACAACAGGCCUUCCAGACGGAGUCCGCCGCUGGUCAGCCAAGAUGGACAUCGUGGAGACACGAAGGGAUCAUCGAAGCUGUAUGCAUGCCACCCUUUCAUCAGAGAGAGGAAGUACUAUUCCCGGCGCGGGCUCUCCUUAACGGACUUCAGUUGUGCCAACCAUGAAGUCCAACUGGAACGUCAACUUCUAUGGACAUCAGCUUUCAUAUGUACAUAUGUACAUUGUACUGUUGUUUCGAUUAAGUCACAUUGUGCCAUAAUCGCUUGUUAAGUAGUCUGUACCUACUUCAGAAUGUGUAUUCAGCUUAUAUGCAUGUAUGUAUAUGGUUUUUAGAGCCAUUGAGUCACUAGUCAAUAGACAGUAUUAAAGAUACUAGAACAUUGUAAUUCUAUGGAUUUUUAAUUUAUUUUCUUUUGUAUAAAAAUUUGCUUGGAAUUAAACAUGUUUAUUUCCAAAUUA